CUCUAAAGUUCCAGGUUGUACAAUAAGACGGUCUGUAUGGGACCAUAGCCCCUCCAAUCCUUAUGCACAGCAACCCAAUGGAGCAUCAUCAUCAAUAUCAAAUGAGAAAACCUCCAGUGAUAAGAAGGAAGAUGGUUCAAGNAUAAGAAGGAAGAUAGUUCAAGCAAUGUUGGGAAACUGGCAAAAAUCGUUGACGUAAGCGAAAUGUCAAAGGGACCGCAAGAUAUUCCAGGUCAUUGGUUGGUAACAGGAGCCAAGCUUGGGGUGGACAAGGGAAGGAUUGUUUUACGUGUGAAGUACUCCUUAUUGAAUUAUUGAUAAUUGCUUCUAUAUUUUUAGGAUUACCAUUUUUUUUUCCCCACUUGUAUGCAUAGUUCAGGCG
This 382-nucleotide unclassified non-coding RNA is filed under the name Hevea brasiliensis (rubber tree). Lineage: Eukaryota; Viridiplantae; Streptophyta; Magnoliopsida; Malpighiales; Euphorbiaceae. The record is from RNAcentral.